This 497-nucleotide ribosomal RNA is filed under the name uncultured bacterium. RNAcentral's name for it is "partial 16S ribosomal RNA". It matches the Rfam family "Bacterial small subunit ribosomal RNA", at positions 28 to 507 of the family's 1533-position model. The record is from RNAcentral.
GAUGAACGCUGGCGGCGUGCCUAAUACAUGCAAGUCGAGCGAACGGACGAGAAGCUUGCUUCUCUGAUGUUAGCGGCGGACGGGUGAGUAACACGUGGAUAACCUACCUAUAAGACUGGGAUAACUUCGGGAAACCGGAGCUAAUACCGGAUGAUAUUUUGAACCGCAUGGUUCAAAAGUGAAAGACGGUCUUGCUGUCACUUAUAGAUGGAUCCGCGCUGCAUUAGCUAGUUGGUAAGGUAACGGCUUACCAAGGCAACGAUGCAUAGCCGACCUGAGAGGGUGAUCGGCCACACGGGAACUGAGACACGGUCCAGACUCCUACGGGAGGCAGCAGUAGGGAAUCUUCCGCAAAGGGCGAAAGCAUGACGGAGCAACGCCGCGUGAGUGAUGAAGGUCUUCGGAUCGUAAAACUCUGUUAUUAGGGAAGAACAUAUGUGUAAGUAACUGUGCACAUCUUGACGGUACCUAAACAGAAAGCCACGGCUAACUACGUG